Molecule: long non-coding RNA, 302 nt
Filed under: Nicotiana benthamiana
Lineage: Eukaryota; Viridiplantae; Streptophyta; Magnoliopsida; Solanales; Solanaceae
Description: long non-coding RNA (NBEN_LNC019154)
Source: RNAcentral
AUUAUCUGAGCUGUAUAUAAACUGUGCCAAAACCCUUCUCUUCUCACCUCCGGGGAUGUGCUUACUGGUUGAGACUCCCUAUUCUGUUAGUGUCAUACCCUGAAAUAAGAAAGAGGCCGGACAAGUUACUAAGACGGAUGACCUUUUGGUUACCAGUACGUUGCCCCCUCAUCGACUUGGAUUGUCCGCUCGGGUAUACUGUUUAGAACACAUACCCAGGUUUUUGAACCUAGAAUAACUUGACUUUGUGCCGGAUCUAUUGUAGGAACAUGUUGUUAUAAACAUCAAUACCACACAAGAGG